Molecule: non-coding RNA, 73 nt
Organism: Pangasianodon gigas (Mekong giant catfish)
Lineage: Eukaryota; Metazoa; Chordata; Actinopteri; Siluriformes; Pangasiidae
Source: the annotation of a GenBank genome assembly
AACGCAUUCAAGUAGGAGUGCCUGCUGAUUUGCAUGAUGUUUUUUUACAUUCUUAUGGUGAGAAAUGACUUCA